Molecule: ribosomal RNA, 120 nt
Filed under: Vibrio parahaemolyticus
Lineage: Bacteria; Pseudomonadati; Pseudomonadota; Gammaproteobacteria; Vibrionales; Vibrionaceae
Description: partial 16S ribosomal RNA
Rfam family: Bacterial small subunit ribosomal RNA
Source: RNAcentral
CUUAAAUUGAAGAGUUUGAUCAUGGCUCAGAUUGAACGCUGGCGGCAGGCCUAACACAUGCAAGUCGAGCGGAAACGAGUUAUCAGAACCUUCGGGGGACGAUAACGGCGUCGAGCGGCG